This 1805-nucleotide long non-coding RNA is filed under the name Triticum aestivum (bread wheat). RNAcentral describes it as "long non-coding RNA (TAES_LNC004516)". Lineage: Eukaryota; Viridiplantae; Streptophyta; Magnoliopsida; Poales; Poaceae. The record is from RNAcentral.
CCAAAUCGGGCCUGGCAUCUCCAUGUCUCUCUUUCCCUCACCCUCCUUCUCGACCUACGGCCGCCGCCGCAGCCAGGCCAGCGUGGCGGCGCGCCAACCAGUACCUCCACCACUCCACCACGCACCACCAGCACCACCAUCCAUCAUCCACACGCCUCCACCAGUGCCCACCUCGCGCGCCCCUCUUGCUGCUUCCUCUCUGAACCUGCUGCUGCUGCAUCUUCCUUCUUCUUGCGCCGAUCUGCUGCUGCUCUGCUUCCUCCACUCCUCCUGCUACUCCUUCUUUUCCCCGUGAUCUGCUGCUGCUCCUUCUUCUACUGCGCUCCCUUGCUGAUCUCUCACCGCUGCUAUUCCUCCCCUCAUCACGCUGCUGCUUCCUUCUUCUCCUGCCGCUGCUCUCUUCUUCCCUCGCCUCUAGUUGCUGCUCCUAGAAUUGUCUGAACCUCAAUUUGCUGCCGCUUAUACCACAAAACAGCUGCUGCUCUCUCUCAAUCUCUCUCUCUCUCUCUCUCUCUCUCUCACACUCUCUGAUCUCGAAUGUCUGUACUCUUGAGAAGUGUGAUGUUAAGUACUUUGUAAUGUUCAGAUAUGUUAGGUGUUAGUACUAUUGUUUAGUUUCAGACUUGUGCCUGUGUGAAAAUUAGUUGAAUCCAUUCCCUGUAUACUUGGUUGUUGUAGAAACUUGUUCAGUUUGUAGUAUCUGUGAUUUAUAUAUAAUGUUGUGGUGUUCAACAGUUUUGGCCAUGUCCCAUUAUCUUAGUUUUGUCCUUUUCUUAUAUGCUAUAUAGAUGUGAUCUUACCCUGCUAUUUCCCUUUCGCCGUUGUUGAUCUUCUGUGUUAGAAUCUUAUUUUCUCAAGAAUUGUGAAAAUAUCAAAAAGAUAGUGAACAAUAUCUUAACCUUUCCUAUACUUGUUUGUUUCUUCCUUUCUCUAUAAUCUUCGGUAACAACUUUGUUUAGUUUAGGUUUAUGUUUCCUUGCAAUCAUCGUCUAUAUUCUGUCACCUAGCUUUAGCCGAGCAUUGUUGCCGUCGCCUAGUCCCUGUGGAGAACAUGACAAUUGCAGAUUUGGGCGAAAUACCCCACUGUCUUUACAAAUGAUCAUUUUGGCACCAUUGCCGGGGACUAGCGUCGUGCGACCGUGUUAGGCUAUAGACUAGGUUUUGCUUUUGUUUCUAUCUAGUGCCAUAUAUUUGUGAUAUAUCUCUUACCCCUAACCACUGUUCUAGUUAUCUUCUCUUUAUUUUCUUGUUCAUUUUGCAGGUUGAAUUGUCUUCUUCGAAAUGGCAUUCUACUCAGAUCAUCAUGCUUAUGCGAGCAACACUACAAAUAGCACGGAAAGUAUUCAAUAACUGAUAAGUAAGAUUUCCCAUCAAUUAGAUGAUUUAGCUCGGCAGCGAGAAGUAGUUUUUGAGGAUAGGCCUAGCUCUUAUGAUCCUUAUUCUAGAGGUCAUCCUUAUGUUGCUCCUACAUGCCAUAUUUGUGGAUUUCAGGGCCAUUCACUCGCUGAAUGUCAGCGUGGUUACUCUCCCCCUCCUGAUUGUUAUGGCAUGAGCUUCGCCCCACAACCUAGCUCAUACCAAAAUAAUUACUCAUAUGGGUGGCCUGAAAACCAGAAUAUGUCAUAUAGGAGCAACAACCCUGAGAUCUCAUCGUUUGCCUCUAGUUAUCCAUUGCAGGGAUUUAGGUAUGAAGGGGAGAGCCACAACUAUGCACCACAACAGUUUUAUUCACCUCCUACUCAUAUACCACAGCACCAGCAGAUCUGUCCAAUGGAGUUAAAUGGUCCUCCAUUUGGUCAACCAAC